GGGAGAAGCUCACUGCUGAUGUUUCGCGUGGGGGGGGGGGGGUUGUUCGUCACGGACUCGCUACGUUUUCCUCGGGGAAGGUCUGACGUCCUCUGAGGGAAAGGCCGCAGCAAGGCCUUGCUCGCCUGCGUGGGUGCGUGAGCCACCAGCGAGGGAGUGCGCCGCGAAGGGCAGGAGAAGCGGGGCGCACAGAGCAGCGUCCCUUCGGCUUCCCCCCGCCCACCCGGCAGCAUGCUCGUGGCCCCGCGGAACGACAGACUCACGGCCGGCACGGCCCCGUAACCCAGUUCAGAUUACUCUCUCCC
RNAcentral lists this RNase P RNA (305 nucleotides) under Cairina moschata (Muscovy duck). Its description in RNAcentral is "domestica (muscovy Duck (domestic type)) Nuclear RNase P (ENSCMMG00000012595.1)". It matches the Rfam family "Nuclear RNase P". From Rfam's summary of the family: Ribonuclease P (RNase P) is a ubiquitous endoribonuclease, found in archaea, bacteria and eukarya as well as chloroplasts and mitochondria. Its best characterised activity is the generation of mature 5'-ends of tRNAs by cleaving the 5'-leader elements of precursor-tRNAs. Lineage: Eukaryota; Metazoa; Chordata; Aves; Anseriformes; Anatidae. The record is from RNAcentral.